Molecule: ribosomal RNA, 254 nt
Filed under: uncultured bacterium
Lineage: Bacteria
Description: partial 16S ribosomal RNA
Rfam family: Bacterial small subunit ribosomal RNA
Source: RNAcentral
UACAGAGGUCUCGAGCGUUAGGCGGAAUCACUGGGCUUAAAGCGCGUGUAGGCGGAUCGUUAAGUACCUUGUGAAAUCCCACGGCUCAACCGUGGAACGGCUGGGCAUACUGGCGGUCUUGAGAGGCCUAGGGGCGAGCGGAACAGGCGGUGGAGCGGUGAAAUGCGUAGAUAUCGCCUGGAACGCCGACGGUGAAAACAGCUCGCUGGGGGCCUUCUGACGCUGAGACACGAAAGCCAGGGGAGCGGAACGGG